Mastomys coucha (southern multimammate mouse) is the source of this 562-nucleotide long non-coding RNA. RefSeq lists it as uncharacterized. The transcript is spliced from 2 exons. NCBI's taxonomy places the organism in Eukaryota, Metazoa, Chordata, Mammalia, Rodentia, Muridae. The record is from RefSeq and is a predicted model, not a curated record.
CCCAUAAAUUGUUUGCUUACUGAAACAAGUAGUGGUCUAUUGUUUUGUGUUGAAGAGCUCAAGUUGGUGUCUCUACUGGAAUCCUACAGAUCACUGAUGGCUCAUGUUCUUAAAGGAAUGAAAAUCAAGCUACCAACACCAAAUACCCCAUCCCUCUCCAAGACACAUGCUUUGUUCAUGUAGACAGCCCUACACAAUACUCAGAUUAUGCAGGGGCAGGAGGUUGCAAUUUAUUGCAUUCUUUAAAACUCUGUAUUGAUUUAGAUGGUAAACAUUACUGAUGGCGCUCUACUUCUCCAAAGUGUAUGUCCUCCUUCGGGAGAUCAUCAGCAUCUCCUUCUCAUUCCAUGGCCACUACAUGAAAGGUAACACGUGCACUAACUGAGCUUUUAAAAAGAGUUCUUUGUGUUCGAGAUCCGUUCGCUGCCUGCGUAUGAGGGCCUCGCAUAUCUACAGACCACUGCUCGUAAACCUUGGCUCCCAAAGGAAAGAGGCUUGAAGACCAGCUCCAUUUAUAAAAAAUAAAAAAAUAAAAAUAAGUAAAUAAAUUUUUAAAAAGGCA